This 498-nucleotide ribosomal RNA is filed under the name uncultured bacterium. RNAcentral's name for it is "partial 16S ribosomal RNA". It matches the Rfam family "Bacterial small subunit ribosomal RNA", at positions 30 to 523 of the family's 1533-position model. The record is from RNAcentral.
AUUGAACGCUGGCGGCAUGCUUUACACAUGCAAGUCGAACGGUAACAGGCCGCAAGGUGCUGACGAGUGGCGAACGGGUGAGUAAUGCAUCGGAACGUGCCCAGUCGUGGGGGAUAACGCAGCGAAAGCUGUGCUAAUACCGCAUACGAUCUAUGGAUGAAAGCGGGGGACCGUAAGGCCUCGCGCGAUUGGAGCGGGCGAUGUCAGAUUAGGUAGUUGGUGGGGUAAAGGCUCACCAAGCCAACGAUCUGUACCUGGUCUGAGAGGACGACCAGCCACACUGGGACUGAGACACGGCCCAGACUCCUACGGGAGGCAGCAGUGGGGAAUUUUGGACAAUGGGCGCAAGCCUGAUCCAGCAAUGCCGCGUGCAGGAAGAAGGCCUUCGGGUUGUAAACUGCUUUUGUACGGAACGAAAAGGUUUGGGUUAAUACCCUGGGCCGAUGACGGUACCGUAAGAAUAAGCACCGGCUAACUACGUGCCAGCAGCCGCCGUAA